This is a small nuclear RNA of Myotis lucifugus (little brown bat), 169 nucleotides long. Its record names the gene U1. It matches the Rfam family "U1 spliceosomal RNA". Rfam says of the family: U1 is a small nuclear RNA (snRNA) component of the spliceosome (involved in pre-mRNA splicing). Lineage: Eukaryota; Metazoa; Chordata; Mammalia; Chiroptera; Vespertilionidae. The record is from Ensembl.
AAACUUACCUGGGUGAAGAAAUUCCUUGAUCAGGAAGGUGAUUCUCCCAUGGCCAGGUUUAGCUUUUGCACUCUGUGGGAAUGACCUCGUCUGUUUCUCCAAAUAUGAGAAAUGCAGCUGCAGGAGCUGUGGAAAGAUAUAAUAUUCUCAGUCCCUAAAAUACUAUAAA